This 211-nucleotide long non-coding RNA is filed under the name Mytilus galloprovincialis (Mediterranean mussel). The record is from RNAcentral. Lineage: Eukaryota; Metazoa; Mollusca; Bivalvia; Mytilida; Mytilidae.
UACAUGUAUAUGCAUAUCUUUAUAUUAUACAUGUAUGUACAUAUAUUUAUAAACGAUCCCUGGAAUUCUCCAACUCUAGUAGUAAAAUCCUGGCUCAAGUGAUUCGUCGGUUUGCUACACCGUUUGUAUGUCUGUUCGGGAUGUAACAAUAUGUAUAUAUAUAAAAAAGAAGAUGUGGUAUGAUUGCCAAUGAGACAACUCUCCACAAGAG